CAUUUUCUCCCUGCCUUUGGAAUAUCCUUGCCUCUUGGAUUUUGAGAACCAAGAGGCAAGGAUGUUCCAAAGACAGGAAGAAGAUGCAGGAAUUA
Molecule: non-coding RNA, 95 nt
Organism: Podarcis lilfordi (Lilford's wall lizard)
Lineage: Eukaryota; Metazoa; Chordata; Lepidosauria; Squamata; Lacertidae
Source: the annotation of a GenBank genome assembly